Molecule: ribosomal RNA, 250 nt
Filed under: uncultured bacterium
Lineage: Bacteria
Description: partial 16S ribosomal RNA
Rfam family: Bacterial small subunit ribosomal RNA
Source: RNAcentral
UACAGAGGUCCCAAGCGUUGUUCGGAUUCACUGGGCGUAAAGGGUGCGUAGGUGGCAUGGUAAGUCGGAUGUGAAAUCUCCGAGCUCAACUCGGAAAUGGCAUUGGAAACUGCCGUGCUCGAGGGUUGGAGGGGGGACUGGAAUACUUGGUGUAGCAGUGAAAUGCGUAGAUAUCAAGUGGAACACCAGUGGCGAAGGCGAGUCCCUGGACAACUCCUGACACUGAGGCACGAAAGCUAGGGGAGCAAAC